AAAACGACUCUCGGCAACGGAUAUCUCGGCUCGCGCAUCGAUGAAGAACGUAGCGAAAUGCGAUACUUGGUGUGAAUUGCAGAAUCCCGUGAACCAUCGAGUCUUUGAACGCAAGUUGCGCCCGACGCCUUCUGGCCGAGGGCACGUCUGCCUGGGCGUCACGC
Molecule: ribosomal RNA, 164 nt
Filed under: Salicornia littorea
Lineage: Eukaryota; Viridiplantae; Streptophyta; Magnoliopsida; Caryophyllales; Amaranthaceae
Description: 5.8S ribosomal RNA
Rfam family: 5.8S ribosomal RNA
About the family: 5.8S ribosomal RNA (5.8S rRNA) is a component of the large subunit of the eukaryotic ribosome.
Source: RNAcentral